Xiphophorus couchianus (Monterrey platyfish) is the source of this 3175-nucleotide RNA transcript. It is a transcript of the gene named SET domain and mariner transposase fusion gene, with no coding region annotated. The transcript is spliced from 2 exons. Lineage: Eukaryota; Metazoa; Chordata; Actinopteri; Cyprinodontiformes; Poeciliidae. The record is from RefSeq and is a predicted model, not a curated record.
UGACAUGCUGCGGGUAGACAGCUGGUCCACAGCAUGACGGAGGAGCGCAGCGUGGAUUUGAGCGGCGGUUUGGAGGAUGUUCCUGUUUUAUGUGAAGCUCUGACACGUCCGACAUUCAAGUCAGAUGUCCCUGGAAUCCCCAUGACAACCGGCGGUGUGUACAGGAGGUGAUUUGGACAGAGACUGGCUGAUUCGGGAGGCGCGCGAAUGCCGAUCUCAGAUCUGCCCGGCAGAACGGCUGCAAACAAGAGCGGCUCCUCUCCAGCACUGUCACCUAGCAACCGGCACUUAAUCACAGGAGGUGAACUUCCCUGCAAAACUCCCUGUGUACCCCCCUGCCCAAAAUCCAACACGAGAACAAGGAAAAUGAAACGUGUUCAGAGCAGGAGGGUGUUUUAGUCAGGAUGUGAUUGGAUUUUGAGAGGCGUAGCGGUUCUGCUCUGGCCUUUGCUAAAUAUCAUUUUCAAUGAAGAUGUUCUCAUUGUUGGUACUCGGUGGAGUUGUCGUAAUGUAAUCUUCUCAUACCAAAAGUGACAGGUACUCAUGUUUUGCUGUGUUCCCUUUAAACCACACUUACUGUGGUUUGAAAACCUGCCCAGAGCCUUGUAGUCAUAAACCCUUGAACUUUUCCACACUUUUUUCCAGAUUGCAGCUACAACCUUUUGUGUCUUUUAUUGAAAUUUAAUGAAAUAGACCAACACAUAGAAGUGCGUAAUUGGGAAGUGGACAAUUGUUUUCAUGAUUUGUUUUAAAAAAAAUAAAAAUCUGUGUUGUAUGCAUUUAAGUCAGUACAGCUGUAUGUGUUCAACCAGUUUAAAGAUUGAAAUUGUUGUUCAUUCUUCAUAAUACAAAGAACACAAUCGACAACGCUGAGCAUCCUCCUUAUGAGACUUUUACACAACUAUAAUGUUUUCAGUCAGAGACUUCAUCAGACUUGCUGGAAUACAGACUGCUACAGGAGAUCUUUCCUGCCCAAAGACAUAAGCAUCAACUUUAACUUUCUCCACGACGUUUUAUACAGUGUGUUUUGUUUUGUUUUUAUGAUGCUGUUUGUUCACUGAAGUUCUCUUAACGAAUCUUUAGAGUCUUCAGAUUACAGCUGGAUUUCGACUGACAUGAAAUUACACCAACUCUGUUCAUUAAUAAGGUGGCUUCUGAUGGUACCGGAUUCAAUUUAACAAAUUAUAAACCUAACUGAAUUUGCUUGGAGCUGUAAGAACUGAAAUCCAGGAAUGGCCGCAUAAAAAAAAAAGAGCAAUUAAUGCAUCACAUGAAGUGAUCGUAUGGCUAAAUAUUAAUUGAUUGGGCUUAAUCAAACUUUGCCAGUAUGUCUUUUCAAACUACGUUUCAAAGGGGUACAGAUGACAAGAUGCAGCUUGAUUAUGUGUCACAUUGAUAAAGGGCCCUGACUAUUUCGGGGUGAGUGACCAGCGGAGAAAUUACUACUGGCAGUCGAUUUGUUCUAAACUGGAGCACGUCUCUGAUGAGGGAGCAGAUGUCCUUGCCUUGAAUCCUGCAGCCAAAUUAAAAAAAGAAAAAAAAAAACUGAAGGCUUAUUUUCAGGGUCUCGGCUGGCGAAGACAUUUUACACGUUCCAGUUGAAACAUUUGCCCCACUUUUGUUGAUUUAUUUUAGUUUUUUUUUGGUCAGUUAAUACAGAAUAAGACAUCAGUCCAUGAAGCACUCCACUGAAUUUGUGUUUGGUUUUUUUCCCCCCCACGGGGUAAGCCUUAGAGCGCCGUGCCUCAUCUCUGCUAAGAGAGGAUGGUGUGAAAAGGGUUUCUCACACUGACUCCUCCCAUCACAGAUGUUAAGUUAAAUUUGGCCCAGGACACCUGCACUGGGCCCAGCAGGAAGUUCUGGAGUGCAGGAGGCGCCCGCCUUCACAGGCUGCUUUUCACGCUGAUCGUUUCUUCCACAUGUGAGAGUUUAGAUACAGUGGUGUGAAGAAGUGGGUUUCACAUUGUCAAAAAGAUGUUAAUACCGGACAAAAAUGACCUGAGUUAAAUAUAAAAUGCUGUUUUGAAAUGAUUAUUUUAAUUAUUACGGGGGCGGGGGGGAGAAAUCGAAAACCAAUCUGGUCCUUUGUGAAAAUAUAAUCUCUCUCUCUCUUCCUACUUUGACACAUGCUUCUUCAAAUAAUUGUAAUUCAGCUUGUCAGUUGGAUCUAAUGCCUGACUUUAACUUCAAAACUUUCUGAAUCAUUAAGAAAUCAUUGCAUGUACAUUUCUACAUGACCAAAAACGCUUUAGUUUCGCCGGGUGAUGGGCAGGGAUUUUCCUUUUUGGACGUUCUGGAAUAAAGAGCAGAAUUCAAUACUUUCUCAAAUUAAAUCAAAGUCGUCCAGGCCCUGAACCAACCCAGGCCAUAACAACAAGCCCCAUGUUUGACUUUUAAGAUGUCCUUCUGGCUCUGUGGAGAGAAAUCAUCUUGUAAUCUGGAAAUUGUCAUCUUGAUUUAUGUUUUCCUUGGAGAAGCACUUAGCCCCAAAUUGCCUGCUGAUCUGCAUAUUGGUGUCUGACUGUUUGAGUGCGAUUGAUGAAUGUAGCUCUAGUGUAAAGUGCUUUAGUGGUCAGCAUAACUACAAAAGCUCAAUAUAAAUUCAGUCCGUUUACCAUUUCAUUAAUGUUUAAGCCCUAUGUUAGAAGUAAUAGGAUGCUUUAAGACUCUCCUCUGGAUGCUAUUUUUCCCAUCAUCUUUCUUAUGAAUAAUGAGCCCUAAUCUCAGCUGAGGGAAGGGAAUGUUGAUGUUCUCUUGCAGGAGUUAUGAUAUGCCGGUGAUAUAUGAGAAGGUUCACCAUUGGUCCAUGUUUUCUAUGGUUUCCAAACUGAUGCAUGUCAUUGAUUUUCUCACCUGUUCUUAAAUUUCUUCAGAUUGGAGGAGAAUGUGGCUAUUUAAGACCUUUUGCCGACUUUGUGUUGUCAGAAUGGUUCUAUUUAAGUUACUUCUUUUUUUAUUUUUCCACAGGACUACGUGUAAUCAGUUCUGGGUUCUGUUGGUGGAAUUGGACCAAAAUAAUGUUCCCUUUUUUGGGUCUUGUGCAAAUUUUGUUAAUGUAAGUUCCUGGUUGUAAAUUGAAUAUAUGACUCUACAGUUAAUUGUGUUUAGCCUAAAGUGACAUUCUUCCAUGUUGUCUUCCAUGUUUUUUGUUUUAAUAAAAAUUUUAACAUUUUUA